CUAAUACAUGCAAGUAGAACGCUGAAGAGAGGAGCUUGCUCUUCUUGGAUGAGUUGCGAACGGGUGAGUAACGCGUAGGUAACCUGCCUUGUAGCGGGGGAUAACUAUUGGAAACGAUAGCUAAUACCGCAUAACAAUGGAUGACACAUGUCAUUUAUUUGAAAGGGGCAAUUGCUCCACUACAAGAUGGACCUGCGUUGUAUUAGCUAGUAGGUGAGGUAACGGCUCACCUAGGCGACGAUACAUAGCCGACCUGAGAGGGUGAUCGGCCACACUGGGACUGAGACACGGCCCAGACUCCUACGGGAGGCAGCAGUAGGGAAUCUUCGGCAAUGGGGGCAACCUUGACCGAGCAACGCCGCGUGAGUGAAGAAGGUUUUCGGAUCGUAAAGCUCUGUUGUAAGUCAAGAACGAGUGUGAGAGUGGAAAGUUCACACUGUGACGGUAGCUUACCAGAAAGGGACGGCUAACUACGUGCCAGCAGCCGCGGUAAUACGUAGGUCCCGAGCGUUGUCCGGAUUUAUUGGGCGUAAAGCGAGCGCAGGCGGUUUGAUAAGUCUGAAGUUAAAGGCUGUGGCUCAACCAUAGUUCGCUUUGGAAACUGUCAAACUUGAGUGCAGAAGGGGAGAGUGGAAUUCCAUGUGUAGCGGUGAAAUGCGUAGAUAUAUGGAGGAACACCGGUGGCGAAAGCGGCUCUCUGGUCUGUAACUGACGCUGAGGCUCGAAAGCGUGGGGAGCGAACAGGAUUAGAUACCCUGGUAGUCCACGCCGUAAACGAUGAGUGCUAGGUGUUGGAUCCUUUCCGGGAUUCAGUGCCGCAGCUAACGCAUUAAGCACUCCGCCUGGGGAGUACGACCGCAAGGUUGAAACUCAAAGGAAUUGACGGGGGCCCGCACAAGCGGUGGAGCAUGUGGUUUAAUUCGAAGCAACGCGAAGAACCUUACCAGGUCUUGACAUCCCGAUGCUAUUUCUAGAGAUAGAAAGUUACUUCGGUACAUCGGUGACAGGUGGUGCAUGGUUGUCGUCAGCUCGUGUCGUGAGAUGUUGGGUUAAGUCCCGCAACGAGCGCAACCCCUAUUGUUAGUUGCCAUCAUUCAGUUGGGCACUCUAGCGAGACUGCCGGUAAUAAACCGGAGGAAGGUGGGGAUGACGUCAAAUCAUCAUGCCCCUUAUGACCUGGGCUACACACGUGCUACAAUGGUUGGUACAACGAGUUGCGAGUCGGUGACGGCAAGCUAAUCUCUUAAAGCCAAUCUCAGUUCGGAUUGUAGGCUGCAACUCGCCUACAUGAAGUCGGAAUCGCUAGUAAUCGCGGAUCAGCACGCCGCGGUGAAUACGUUCCCGGGCCUUGUACACACCGCCCGUCACACCACGAGAGUUUGUAACACCCGAAGUCGGUGAGGUAACCUUUUGGAGCCAGCCGCCUAAGGUGGGAUAGAUGAUUGGGGUGAA
RNAcentral lists this ribosomal RNA (1452 nucleotides) under uncultured organism. RNAcentral describes it as "16S ribosomal RNA". It matches the Rfam family "Bacterial small subunit ribosomal RNA". The record is from RNAcentral.